Molecule: ribosomal RNA, 363 nt
Filed under: Astrosyne radiata
Lineage: Eukaryota; Bacillariophyta; Fragilariophyceae; Cyclophorales; Cyclophoraceae
Description: partial Bacterial small subunit ribosomal RNA
Rfam family: Bacterial small subunit ribosomal RNA
Source: RNAcentral
GCUUAACACAUGCAAGUCGAGCGCCCUGCUUGCAGGGAGCGGCAGACGGGUGAGUAACGCGUGGGAACGUGCCUAUUGGUUCGGAAUAGCCCCGGGAAACUGGGUUUAAUACCGAAUGUGCCCUUCGGGGGAAAGAUUUAUCGCCAAUAGAUCGGCCCGCGUUAGAUUAGCUAGUUGGUGGGGUAAAAGCUUACCAAGGCUACGAUCUAUAGCUGGUCUGAGAGGAUGAUCAGCCACACUGGGACUGAGACACGGCCCAGACUCCUACGGGAGGCAGCAGUGGGGAAUCUUGGACAAUGGGCGAAAGCCUGAUCCAGCCAUGCCGCGUGAAUGAUGAAGGCCCUAGGGUUGUAAAAUUCUUUC